RNAcentral lists this long non-coding RNA (220 nucleotides) under Dromaius novaehollandiae (emu). RNAcentral's name for it is "lncRNA (ENSDNVG00000005788.1)". The record is from RNAcentral. Lineage: Eukaryota; Metazoa; Chordata; Aves; Casuariiformes; Dromaiidae.
AAUGUUUUUUAUGAUUUAAAUGGCAUCUAUAUUGGACUUCAAACAAGAUGCAAGAUCAGCAUAUCCUGACAGAAAGGGAAAUGAAAGAUGGAAACAUGUUAACUACUGCUUGUAAUAGUAGAAGUUUCAAGGGAAGAACAGAGUCGACAAAGGUUUGUGACUCAUUGUUUAUUUUUGAUAUGGCAACCGUAAUGUACCUAGGUGCUUUGGAAACGGGAAG